AUUGAACGCUGGCAGCAGGCUUAACACAUGCAAGUCGAACGAUGAAACCUAGCUUGCUAGGUGGAUUAGUGGCGGACGGGUGAGUACAACUUAGGAAUCUACCUUUUAGCGGGGGAUAGCUCGGGGAAACUCGAAUUAAUACCGCAUACUCCUUACGAGGGAAAGGGGGCUUUUAGCUCCCACUAAAAGAUGAGCCUAAGCAAGAUUAGCUAGUUGGUGGGGUAAAAGCCUACCAAGGCGACGAUCUUUAGCUGGUCUGAGAGGAUGAUCAGCCACACUGGGACUGAGACACGGCCCAGACUCCUACGGGAGGCAGCAGUGGGGAAUAUUGGACAAUGGGGGCAACCCUGGUCCAGCCAUGCCGCGUGUGUGAAGAAGGCCUUUUGGUUGUAAAGCACUUUAAGCAGUGAGGAAAAGCUAUAUGUUAAUACCAUAUAGCCCUGACGUUAACUGCAGAAUAAGCACCGGCUAACUCUGUGCCAGCAGCCGCGGUAAUACAGAGGGUGCAAGCGUUAAUCGGAAUUACUGGGCGUAAAGAGAACGUAGGUGGUCAAUUAAGUCGGAUGUGAAAUCCCUGAGCUCAACUUAGGAACUGCAUCCGAUACUGGUUGACUAGAGUAGGUGAGAGGAGAGUAGAAUUCCAGGUGUAGCGGUGAAAUGCGUAGAUAUCUGGAGGAAUACCGAUGGCGAAGGCAGCUCUCUGGCAUCAUACUGACACUGAGGUUCGAAAGCGUGGGUAGCAAACGGG
RNAcentral lists this ribosomal RNA (748 nucleotides) under uncultured bacterium. Its description in RNAcentral is "bacterial SSU rRNA". It matches the Rfam family "Bacterial small subunit ribosomal RNA", at positions 28 to 776 of the family's 1533-position model. The record is from RNAcentral.